CUGUUCAUUUGCAGAUGCAGCAUGUUCUUGCCGUUGUCUCUGGAGAUGGUGAAUCGGCCCUUCACAGAGUUGGCAUAGUAUGUGGUACUUCCAUCAGGAUUUAUUUGACAUAACAACUCCAGCCUCUUCCCUGGAGCCUGGCGGACCCAGUGCAUCCAGUAGCUACUGAAGGUGAAUCCAGAGGCUGCACAGGAGACUCUAAGAGACCCCCCAGGCUUCACCAAGCCUCCCCCAGACUCCAUCA
Myotis brandtii (Brandt's bat) is the source of this 244-nucleotide long non-coding RNA. RefSeq lists it as uncharacterized. Lineage: Eukaryota; Metazoa; Chordata; Mammalia; Chiroptera; Vespertilionidae. The transcript is spliced from 2 exons. The record is from RefSeq and is a predicted model, not a curated record.